RNAcentral lists this long non-coding RNA (1388 nucleotides) under Homo sapiens (human). RNAcentral describes it as "JPX transcript, XIST activator". The stretch from base 1 to 125 matches the Rfam family "JPX transcript, XIST activator conserved region 1". The record is from RNAcentral. Lineage: Eukaryota; Metazoa; Chordata; Mammalia; Primates; Hominidae.
GGAAGACUUAAGAUGGCGGCGUUUGCACGGAGUGCAAUCACUGCGUCCUUACGGGGGUUGCAAGGCGUCCGAAGUAUGAGUCCACUAACAAAAGUCCAGAAACUCGCCAGUUAAUAGUAUUGUGUCUCUUCAAAAUAUCGGAGAAUAAUUUCUUUCUCGCUGAUCGCCUAACUUCUACUGACGAAGCUUGGAAGUUGCAGAAGAUGGAGUUCGCUCUUGUUGCCCAGGCUGGAAUGCAAUGGCAUGACCUUGGCUCACUGCAACCUCUGCCUCCCCAGUUCAAGUGGUUCUCCUGCCUCAGCCUCCCGAGUAGCUGAGAUUACAGAAAAGGGGUUUCACCUUUUGGCCAGGCUGAUCUCGAACUUCUGACCUCAAGCAAUCCACCCGCCUUGGCCUCCCAAAGUGCUGGGAUUACAGGCGUGAGCCACUGCGCCCAGCCCAUAUAGAGGUACUGGCUCCUGUAUCACCCAGCUCUGGAGUUGAAAGAGCUCUUCAUUCCUGAGUCUCCUGUACCACUGAGAAUAGGCUGGAGUGCAGUGGCGCAAUCUCGGCUCUCUGCAACCUUCACCUCCCGUGUUCAAGUGAUUCUCCUGCCUCAGCCUCCUGAAUACCUGAGAUUACAAGCAUGAGCCACCGCGUCCAGCAAGAAUAGGUGAUUUUCAAACUUGGAAACAUUCAGAAGUUAUCGCCUCAGUUUCAGAUUGAGUAGUCUCAAAGAGAUUACAGACAUCUACCACAAAUUCUCUACUUGGUGUGGUGCAAAAUCAGUAUGAUGUAAACUUUGUCUCUCAGUUUCUUCAAAGGAAAGAAGCAACUGGAACACACAUAUAACACUAACCCUUCCAGCUGCAUUAUGAGGGACCAGUACCUGUCUCAAGGCAAAAUUAUGACUUAGUUCAUCCUCACCUCUGGAGGCCAGUAAAAGUGGGUUAUAGAAGAACAAAGAGGCAUCUAGAUCUUUCACUGGGUUAUUUGGAGAGAAACAUCUCCUACCGAAGGCCAGUUUAACAAGACUGGUAGAGGAGGUUAUCUUAUCUAAUUCACAGAAAUCAACACAUUGAGUCAAGAAAAAUGAAACACAGAAACACUCUAAAUAAAAGAAGAUAAGUCUUCAGAAACCAACCCUAAUGAAAUGAAGAUAUGUGAUUAACCUGACAGGAAAUUAAAAAGAGCAACCAUAAAGAGUCUCAUGGGAGCAAUGCAUGAACAAACUGAGAAUUUUCAUAAAGAAAUAAAAGAUAACAAAAAGUAUAAAGUUGAAGAAUACAAUAACUGGACUCAAAAAUUUAAUGUGUCCAACAGAAGAAUCGAUGAAGCAGAAGAAAGGGCUAUCAAACUUGUAGAUAGGCCAUUGGAAAUCAUGUAAUGUGAGGAGAAAAAAGAAAAAA